This 301-nucleotide ribosomal RNA is filed under the name uncultured bacterium. Its description in RNAcentral is "partial 16S ribosomal RNA". It matches the Rfam family "Bacterial small subunit ribosomal RNA", at positions 509 to 807 of the family's 1533-position model. The record is from RNAcentral.
CAGCCGCCGCGGUAAUACGUAGGGUGCAAGCGUUAAUCGGAAUUACUGGGCGUAAAGCGUGCGCAGGCGGUUUGUUAAGACAGAUGUGAAAUCCCCGGGCUCAACCUGGGAACUGCAUUUGUGACUGGCAAGCUAGAGUGUGGCAGAGGGGGGUGGAAUUCCGCGUGUAGCAGUGAAAUGCGUAGAUAUGCGGAGGAACACCGAUGACGAAGGCAGCCCCCUGGGCCAACACUGACGCUCAUGCACGAAAGCGUGGGGAGCAAACAGGAUUAGAUACCCGCGUAGUCCCUGUCUCUUAUAC